Molecule: long non-coding RNA, 242 nt
Organism: Suncus etruscus (white-toothed pygmy shrew)
Lineage: Eukaryota; Metazoa; Chordata; Mammalia; Eulipotyphla; Soricidae
Exons: 2
Source: RefSeq, a predicted model, not a curated record
AAUGGAAGUGUUGAGGAAGCUCUCUGAUCCUUUCAUCUAUACACAUAUACAUAGCAACUCGUACCCUUUACCAAAACUUGUAACCUAUUGAAUGCUACUUUUCUUUAACCCCUGCUUUAGGACAUCUAAGACCUUAACUAGGUUGAAAGGCUGGGUUCUGUCUCUUCUGGUCUCUUUCCAAACUUAUCCUUCUACGGAUAAGUUUUAAGAUUUCAAUAAAUAAUACAUAAUCCGUGACUUGA